ACCAUAAAACCCGAGACUGUGAGCCACGUGGCAGAGCUGUUCUCCUGGGUUCCCUUACCCUACUGCUCUCCACCUGGGUGCCCUUUCCAAUAAAAUCUCUUGCUUUGUCAGCACGUGUCUUCUCGGACAAUUCUUUUCCCAGUGUUAGACAAGAGCCCACUCUUGAGACCCUGUAAGGGGGUGGGGGCCUCCCCCUUCCUACAACAACUGGCAACCAUGAAGGGACACCCCCAUUUUUACUGGGGCUGACAUCCAGACCACUCGGGGUACCCCAGGACCAGCUCGCCUGCCGACGGAUCUGACCCAGCGGCCGCAAUUGGGACUCGUUUGUCCCUAGUCUCCUCCUGACGUGGACAACUGGCCAGGGUGCCCCGACCGGGCCUUAUCUUCCUGCAACAAACCCCCUUCUCUGCACUGUGCCGUGCCCAGCCCGGUUCAGCCCAUCCCAGCUCUGCCCUGCCCAAGAGGAAGUUCUACAGGGGUGGUAAAGGAGUAUGGUCUACCAAUGUGGAGCCUGGCAGAAUCAAAAUGCAUGUAGGAUUGUGUCUGGAGGAAGGGACGCAACCUGCGAUUUGCGGCAUCUUAGGUCUCCGACCAGGGAUGGAGUCUGCACUACCUGCAGUGGAAGUGCAGAGUCCUAACCACUGGACCACCAGGGUCUAACAUUUCCUCUGAGGUUCUACGUUGGUUGCAUUUCACAAGUUUUUAUAUGUGACUUAGAAUUGUGUCCCCUACCCACCUACCCAUCCUUUUUUUAAAAAAAUAUUUAUUUAUUUGGCUGCACAGCAUGUGGAACCUUAAUUCCCAACUGGGGCUUGAACUUGCACCCCUGCACUGGAAGUACAGCAUCUUAACCACUGGACUGCCAGGGAAGUCCCCCCACCCACACUUUUACUAACUGAACCGAAUCCUAGUGGACACAGGAGAUAUCCACAGAGGUGAGAAUUGGAGACAUAGCAUGGAUGCUGUUCGCCAAGAAGAACACGUAGAAGGAGAAGAGAAGGGAGUCAAAGGGAGGACCUUGAAGGAUGCUUAGGUUUGAGGUGUGGGUGAAAGAGAAGCCCUUGACGGCCAUGGAGAAGGAGGGUCAGAAAGGAACUGAAAGUAUCUGGUAAAACGGAAGAUGUUGGACUUCCCUGAUGGUCCAGUGAUAAAAGAAUCUGCCUGCCAAUGCAGGGGACAUGGGUUCGAUCCCUGGUCCAGGAAGAUCCCACUUGCUGUGGGGUAAUGAAGCCUGUGCUCUAGG
Bubalus bubalis (water buffalo) is the source of this 1246-nucleotide long non-coding RNA. RefSeq lists it as uncharacterized. NCBI's taxonomy places the organism in Eukaryota, Metazoa, Chordata, Mammalia, Artiodactyla, Bovidae. The record is from RefSeq and is a predicted model, not a curated record. The transcript has 4 exons.